Tripterygium wilfordii is the source of this 1801-nucleotide long non-coding RNA. RefSeq lists it as uncharacterized. The transcript is spliced from 3 exons. NCBI's taxonomy places the organism in Eukaryota, Viridiplantae, Streptophyta, Magnoliopsida, Celastrales, Celastraceae. The record is from RefSeq and is a predicted model, not a curated record.
UAUAAAGCAGAGGCUCUUACAACCCUUGCUAUUAUUUCGACAUCUGGAUUGCUAAGAUUCUCAAUUUAUGCCCACGUGGACUCUCCACACUUCUUUAUCCCUAUUUCAAUCACUCUCAAUCACUCCCAGUUUUUGCCUAAGAAAGCAUGACCUGCGGCAAUAAAAAACAUAAACAAAAUAACGUAAAAGCUCGGUACGUAAAAAUAACGUAAAUAAUACCGUUUUGUGUUCCACCGAUUGUCGGCCUGUUGUUCCCGUUCUCCUACUUCCCUACAUCUGAGUAUCUUCUUCUCGGUUGGUUCGUGUACCAGAUUUAACUCCAUACGCCUUUUAUUCUCUGUAGGUUCGCGUAACAGUUGAAGACCCACGGACAAUUGGUGUCUUAUACUCUCAUGCGGACUUCCCGUUGAAGAAAGCGACAAGACAAUUUUUCCCGAGCCGUGCUAUCUUGACUAAAUGUUUUAUGUUGGGUAUGAUUGUUCUUUUUUCUUGAGCGUUUGAUUUUUUCCCUUCGCAGGAGCUACAAGGCGAAUCAACACUCAGCAGAGUCGCCCUUCUCUUCUGUUUAAUCGUUGUUCUCUUUGUUUUAUUUCCCCCUAUUUUGACCUCAGAUUUGAGUAGGCAUAUCUCUGCUUUCCAUCCAUGGUGUGGAUAAAUCAAGGGCUUUCUGCAAUGAACUAUCUUUGAAUGUUUUGGAAUCCGAUGAUUCUUUUUUGGAUAUAAAGACGGCAACUGAUGGCUUUCACAGGAUAAUCUAUAGCAAUUCUCAAGGUGCUGCUUACAAUGCCACAUUUCAAGAUGGGGGAAUUGCUUUGGUGAAGGAGUUAAUGCUUUUUCUGGAGAUGAAAAUGCUUUUAAUAGGGAGCUGAAAGUAUUAGCGAGCUUGCAUCACCGUCAUUUACUCACACUUCGAGGUUUUUCCUCUGGAUGCAAAAGAAAUGGCUUACAAUAAGAAGUUACUUCGAGGACUGAAGAAGAGCAAAGUAUAUGGUAACUAUUCAAGAAACUUUGGGUUUUUUUUUAAUCACUAAGUUGGUUUUUCGUGGUGAACUCUAUGCUUGACCAAUUAUGAGAAGCCAUAGUUGUCCAGAUUUUAUUUUAGAAUUUCAGGAUUUCGAUAGCCAACUGAAUUUGUAAGGUCUAAGUGAAGCUCAGGGGGAAUUUGCAAGGUUUGAUCUCUAAUUUCUCUCACCUCUCAAUGUGAAUUUUCAUGGUUUGAUUUCUAAAUCCAUAUUUCUCUAUAGACUUCUCCACAUAUUUCAAUAGCCCACUGAAUUUGCAAGGUUUUAGGGAAACUUAGGGGGAAUUUGCAGGGUUUGUUAUCUGAUUUCUUCCACCUCUCAUUGGGGAUUUUGCAAGGUGUGAUUUCUAAUUUCUAAGUCUCCCUACCUCUUCAAAUAGUAUUUCUAAUUUCUUAGUUAUGAUUGCAUAGACAAAAAUUUUCUACAAAUUGUUGCUCUAUUUUUCUUAGUUGUGCUUUGUUUAUCUGGCAUAAUAUUAAUUAGCAUUGCAAUAAGGUAGAUAGUUUGAUUCUCUGGAAUAUAUUGGUUGUUUGAUGAUUUUCUGCUUUGGAUGUAUAUGGGAUUUACAAUUAAAAUAUAUAUAUCGCUCGCAUUCACAUUUGAGAAAUGAGAAUACUAUCGAGAUUGUUGUAGACCCAAUAUUUUAAUUCCAUAUAAACUUGAUUGCUCUUGCAAAUCUAAAGUUUACACGGACAUGCUUAAUCUUUGCUUGGUGAAUACAUGCCUGGUCAAUUUUAAUCGAGCCCCCUUCAAGCAAUCAAGAAACUCAGUCUUUAUGC